This 250-nucleotide ribosomal RNA is filed under the name uncultured bacterium. RNAcentral's name for it is "partial 16S ribosomal RNA". It matches the Rfam family "Bacterial small subunit ribosomal RNA", at positions 524 to 776 of the family's 1533-position model. The record is from RNAcentral.
UACGUAGGGGGCUAGCGUUGUCCGGAUUUAUUGGGCGUAAAGAGCGUGUAGGCGGCCAGGUAGGUCUGCUGUGAAAACUCGAGGCUCAACCUCGAGACGUCGGCGGAAACCAUCUGGCUAGAGUCCGGAAGAGGAGAGUGGAAUUCCUGGUGUAGCGGUGAAAUGCGCAGAUAUCAGGAAGACCAGUGGCGAAGGCGGGUCUCUGGACAGUUCCUGACGCUGAGGCACGAAGGCCAGGGGAGCAAACGGG